GACGAACGCUGGCGGCGUGCUUAACACAUGCAAGUCGAACGGAAAGGCCCUGCUUUUGUGGGGUGCUCGAGUGGCGAACGGGUGAGUAACACGUGAGUAACCUGCCCUUGACUUUGGGAUAACUUCAGGAAACUGGGGCUAAUACCGGAUAGGAGCUCCUGCUGCAUGGUGGGGGUUGGAAAGUUUCGGCGGUUGGGGAUGGACUCGCGGCUUAUCAGCUUGUUGGUGGGGUAGUGGCUUACCAAGGCUUUGACGGGUAGCCGGCCUGAGAGGGUGACCGGCCACCUUGGGACUGAGAUACGGCCCAGACUCCUACGGGAGGCAGCAGUGGGGAAUAUUGCACAAUGGGCGGAAGCCUGAUGCAGCAACGCCGCGUGCGGGAUGACGGCCUUCGGGUCGUAAACCGCUUUCGCCUGUGACGAAGCGUGAGUGACGGUAAUGGGUAAAGAAGCACCGGCUAACUACGUG
RNAcentral lists this ribosomal RNA (468 nucleotides) under uncultured bacterium. RNAcentral describes it as "partial 16S ribosomal RNA". It matches the Rfam family "Bacterial small subunit ribosomal RNA", at positions 28 to 507 of the family's 1533-position model. The record is from RNAcentral.